Molecule: ribosomal RNA, 433 nt
Filed under: uncultured bacterium
Lineage: Bacteria
Description: partial 16S ribosomal RNA
Rfam family: Bacterial small subunit ribosomal RNA
Source: RNAcentral
AACGAACGCUGGCGCCAUGCCUAACACAUGCAAGUCGAACGAGACCUUCGGGUCUAGUGGCGCACGGGUGCGUAACGCGUGGGAACCUGCCCUUAGGUUCGGAAUAACUCCCCGAAAGGGGUGCUAAUACCGGAUAAUGUCUUCGGACCAAAGAUUUAUCGCCUUUGGAUGGGCCCGCGUUGGAUUAGCUAGUUGGUAGGGUAAAAGCCUACCAAGGCGACGAUCCAUAGCUGGUCUGAGAGGAUGAUCAGCCACACUGGGACUGAGACACGGCCCAGACUCCUACGGGAGGCAGCAGUGGGGAAUAUUGGACAAUGGGCGAAAGCCUGAUCCAGCAAUGCCGCGUGAGUGAUGAAGGCCUUAGGGUUGUAAAGCUCUUUUACCCGGGAUGAUAAUGGCAGUACCGGGAGAAUAAGCUCCGGCUAACUCCGUG